GUGUGGCUCAAUGGAUAUGGUAUUGGCUUAUAUAGCUGGGGAUUCUGGGUUCAAGUCCCA
RNAcentral lists this transfer RNA (60 nucleotides) under Lankesteria abbotti. The record is from RNAcentral. Lineage: Eukaryota; Apicomplexa; Conoidasida; Eugregarinorida; Lecudinidae.